Non-coding RNA from Beta vulgaris subsp. vulgaris (sugar beet), 100 nucleotides. Lineage: Eukaryota; Viridiplantae; Streptophyta; Magnoliopsida; Caryophyllales; Amaranthaceae. The record is from Rfam.
UGGCGAAUGACAGUGCAAUUCUCCUUUGGCACACUAUCCAUGCUCAAUUGCUCAUGCAUACUUCUAUUGUGCCAAAGGAGAAUUGCCCUGUAAUUCACUA